AACGCUGGCGGCGUGCCUAAUACAUGCAAGUAGAACGCACAGGAUACACCGUAGUUUACUACACCGUAUUCUGUGAGUUGCGAACGGGUGAGUAACGCGUAGGUAACCUGCCUGGUAGCGGGGGAUAACUAUUGGAAACGAUAGCUAAUACCGCAUAAGAACAUUUACUGCAUGGUAGAUGUUUAAAAGGUGCAAAUGCAUCACUAUCAGAUGGACCUGCGUUGUAUUAGCUAGUAGGUGAGGUAACGGCUCACCUAGGCGACGAUACAUAGCCGACCUGAGAGGGUGAUCGGCCACACUGGGACUGAGACACGGCCCAGACUCCUACGGGAGGCAGCAGUAGGGAAUCUUCGGCAAUGGGGGGAACCCUGACCGAGCAACGCCGCGUGAGUGAAGAAGGUUUUCGGAUCGUAAAGCUCUGUUGUUAAGGAAGAACGAGUGUGAGAAUGGAAAGUUCAUACUGUGACGGUACUUAACCAGAAAGGGACGGCUAACUACGUGCCA
Molecule: ribosomal RNA, 504 nt
Filed under: uncultured Streptococcus sp.
Lineage: Bacteria; Bacillati; Bacillota; Bacilli; Lactobacillales; Streptococcaceae
Description: bacterial SSU rRNA
Rfam family: Bacterial small subunit ribosomal RNA
Source: RNAcentral